CGGCCGGGACGACCCGGCCGACCAGGGAGCAUGAGCCGGGACGACCCGGC
Molecule: non-coding RNA, 50 nt
Filed under: Rhodopseudomonas palustris BisA53
Lineage: Bacteria; Pseudomonadati; Pseudomonadota; Alphaproteobacteria; Hyphomicrobiales; Nitrobacteraceae
Description: mini-ykkC.2008-01-16 RNA
Rfam family: Guanidine-II riboswitch aptamer (mini-ykkC)
About the family: Simpler in structure and has fewer highly conserved nucleotide positions than the ykkC-yxkD leader. Despite this each of its two stem-loop structures directly bind free guanidine.
Source: RNAcentral